AAGGCUUCAAAUGUAUUUUAAUAAGGUGAUGCUGCAUUACUGCUCCAUUUCUCAGAAAAAUUUUCAAAUUGAAGGGGUCAUAUAUGAGAUAUAACAGAACCGUAUGUAUGCUGUGACCUCUGUGGACAUUGUCUGAAUUCUCACCUGGGAGUGAAUGGAGGAAUUGGGCUGGGUCAUUGGAGCAUGUUUAGGUUUUGUGGUAUACAUGGCAGUGUCUCUGGGGUUGAGGGGAAUAAAGAUGAAAAAUUAAAGGAUGAGAGGAUGAGGGGGGGAGAGGAAG
Molecule: long non-coding RNA, 280 nt
Filed under: Rattus norvegicus (Norway rat)
Lineage: Eukaryota; Metazoa; Chordata; Mammalia; Rodentia; Muridae
Description: long non-coding RNA NONRATT031063
Source: RNAcentral